This 253-nucleotide ribosomal RNA is filed under the name uncultured bacterium. Its description in RNAcentral is "partial 16S ribosomal RNA". It matches the Rfam family "Bacterial small subunit ribosomal RNA", at positions 524 to 776 of the family's 1533-position model. The record is from RNAcentral.
UACGUAGGGUGCAAGCGUUGUCCGGAAUUAUUGGGCGUAAAGAGCUCGUAGGCGGUUAGUCGCGUCUGCUGUGAAAACUCGGGGCUUAACUCCGGGCGUGCAGUGGGUACGGGCUGACUAGAGUGCGGUAGGGGAGACUGGAAUUCCUGGUGUAGCGGUGAAAUGCGCAGAUAUCAGGAGGAACACCGGUGGCGAAGGCGGGUCUCUGGGCCGUAACUGACGCUGAGGAGCGAAAGCGUGGGGAGCGAACAGG